UUCCUGCACAUCAGGUGCCAGUCAGAGCCUCACCGAGGGGGAAACAGCAGCUGAAGAUUUAGGUGAGGAAUAACAACAACGAAGAAAACAAAACAAGAGUGUGAGAAAACCGAGGAGGAGGAAAAAAAAUUUUCUCAGCUGCAAAAUACUCAGUAACACUCCCAGUCAGCACUGGCUCGGUGCAUCCCAAAAUCCAGAGACACUGGGAAGUGAGAGCUUGGAGAAUCCCGAAUCACUGACUGGGGGUUUGAUUUAUUCUUUGCAGCCAGACAGUGCUCUCUCCCUCUCUCCCUCUCUCCCUCCCUCCCCUCCCUCUCUCCGGUGUGCGGGCACAGCAGCCACCUCUCCCCCUCCACCAACCAAAGGGGGGGGGGUGCUCCUGCAAUAAAAGUGUGGGAAGCUCAUGGCUGCGGAGUAAUGCAGACAAAGCACGAGGGAGAGGGACCCAGAGGGCCGGAGCCCCCGGAGAUGUGACCCACCCCGCGGGAGGACGCGUCCGUAGCCUCCGAGCCGUGUUUGUGCUGCCUCACGGCGAUAGACAGCGGGCUCGGAUCCCCCCGGGGAUUUCUCCGGCGCUAAUUCCCUCCGCACAAAGCCCAGCCUGCCGGGCUGCUCUCCAGCAGCAACCUUUGCAUCCCUCCAGCUCCCCCCGAGCCGCAGGAGCUGCUCCCCCCGGCUGCUCCCGAGCCAAUGUCACCUGUACCCAAUGAAGCAGACCCCGAGGUGCCACGCAUGGAUCCCAGGAUUCUUAUUUUCCUUCUCUACGUGAUGAUCCUUCACGAGCUGGUGAGUGGCUGGAUGGAGUACCAGAAGCAGAUGGCCAAGCCAAAGAAGCAGGCGGGUCCAGUUUGGUCCUCGAGCAAUGCCACCAGAUCCAGCCCCUCCAGCUUCUCCAGGCCCCUGGUCCACUCUGUGCGCAGGGAGAGGUACAGGGACUGGAGGAAACCGGGAAGGAUCAUCCGGAAGGCGUGAGGAGGGAUCUGUUGGGAGCGUGGGGAGAGAUGGCUGAGCCGGAGGAGCCACCCCUCAGGGUCUGCACCACCUCACCAGCCCACACAGGAGCAUCCCCCAGGCACUGCAACCUGCAGCUUUCCUCACUGAGAACACACCACUGAGGAGGAAUGAGCCCCUUCCUCCUGGGAAUUCGUCCCUGCAGGGUGAGGAGCUGCACUGGAGACACCUCAGCCAGCAGCAGGAUCACCCCAAGUGGCACCUUUGCCACCCAGCACAGUGAAGUGACUUCUCUGCUUCCCAAAGGGUUGAGUGGGUGGAGAGCAGAUUUCCUGGGGGGGGAAGAGUGAAAUUUGCUCCUGCAGGGGCAGCUCUGGGAAGCCUCCAAAUGGUUUCAGGCUCCUCUUCUCCUGCUCCAGGACUGCGUGGCCAGUAAGCCUCAGCUCCCAAACUGACUGGAAAAUCUCUGGUGUCCAGUCUGUCACCGCUCCCAGGAGAACUCACCUCUACUGGGACACACAGAGCUCAUGGCACUUUGGGAAUGCUGGCUCCCCAUUAAGUCUCAUGCACUGAGAAUCCCUAAAUUUUUUUCUGCUUUCCUUCACGCUUGUUAAAUGAGUUACUCUGGGCUGGAAGGGGGAAAACGCCCUGAACCAGUGACUCAGAGUUAUGCCACCAAAUGCAAUUUACUGCAAUGACCUUGUAAUUAGCUUUCCUUGGAGCAUUCCCAGCAGUUGAGCCGAAUAAAUGUAAGAGCCACUUUCUAAUGAGCAGAUAGAUGGGGAAGGAAUACAAUAUUGCUCUUUUUGAGCCUGCAGUUUGGGCAUAAAAUUCAAUUUUAGAGGCAAAAUUCUGCUGUUGCAUCCUGCACCUCACAUAGGCAGGAUGGGAAUCUUGGAGCACUGGAGGGAUUCUGACUCUGGGCUCUCACAGCAGCUGUCCAUGGCAAAACUGCUCCUUAUUUGCUGAACAUAAUGUUUGGCUCAAACACAGCCUGUUUUUCUCGUUGCCAACCAUUUAUAAACCUGACUCAGGCUCACAGACACAUUAUCCAGGAGCAGACAGGGAAGGGAGUCGGGAUAGAUUAUGCAUUCAUUACCCAGAAGUAGCCACCAGAUACAUUUGCACAUUUGUCUGCUGCUCAGUUGUUUGCAAAUUGUUCCUGUUGGUUGACACUGUGUUUGUUCAGUCACCCAGGGCUGGAGUCACCUGAGCUCAGCACCCAGACCCAGGUGCUGCAAAGAGGGGAAUGGGAGGGGGUGUGAAGUGACUCCUAUGAAGUUAAACCUCACAAGGAAGCUGCCUGAACUGUGCUCUUGAAGUUCCCAAUCCUCUAUCCCAAGUAGGAUAAGUAACUCAGAUGUAAACCUCUACUUUCACAUGGGGGAGAUGAAGUUUCUGCCUUGAAGUUGAUGCCUCGUGUUCAGAUGUGUUUGAAAAAGGAGCAAGAAGUGGCAGUUAAUGUUUUCUGCACAUUUCAAAGCAUAACCCCCCCGCGAAGUUGUGCCUCAGCCCUGUGACACUGUGACACUGUGGCUGUCCCUGAGGCCUCCACGGCCUGUCCUGAUCCCUGCAGGUACAGCCAGAGGUGACAGCAACAGAGGGAGAAGGUGGCAGGAGGAAGAACAUUCAGAAAGUGUUUCUGGGGGCUGGGGGACUUUGCUGCCCUGGAGUUGAGUGUGAGGGCGGACGCGUAGCUGGAUAUUCUCCCUGCUCUUCUGCCAGAGCCUGUGUGAGUUUGCUGGGAGCACUUCCUGUGGAAAAAGGGUUUAAAUGAAUUACUCCAGUGGGACAGGAUGGGACUGGCCUCACUGACACGCUGGGCUCCUCUGUCCUCAGUGGGGCAGACAGACCUGAGCAGGGACAGAUGGACCUGACUGGGCAGGAAGGGUGAAGGGCCUGGACUGCUGUGCUCUGCUGAUCACAUGCUGGGUUUAUCCCUGUAAAUAUCAUCAUGUUUCCUUCCAAUAAACUCUUUUCCACACGUGG
Long non-coding RNA from Pipra filicauda (Wire-tailed manakin), 2940 nucleotides. RefSeq lists it as uncharacterized. The transcript is spliced from 2 exons. Lineage: Eukaryota; Metazoa; Chordata; Aves; Passeriformes; Pipridae. The record is from RefSeq and is a predicted model, not a curated record.